This 598-nucleotide small RNA is filed under the name Aspergillus fumigatus. Its description in RNAcentral is "eukaryotic LSU rRNA". The stretch from base 217 to 370 matches the Rfam family "5.8S ribosomal RNA". Lineage: Eukaryota; Fungi; Ascomycota; Eurotiomycetes; Eurotiales; Aspergillaceae. The record is from RNAcentral.
UCCGUAGGUGAACCUUGCGGAAGGAUCAUUACCGAGUGAGGGCCCUCUGGGUCCAACCUCCCACCCGUGUCUAUCGUACCUUGUUGCUUCGGCGGGCCCGCCGUUUCGACGGCCGCCGGGGAGGCCUUGCGCCCCCGGGCCCGCGCCCGCCGAAGACCCCAACAUGAACGCUGUUCUGAAAGUAUGCAGUCUGAGUUGAUUAUCGUAAUCAGUUAAAACUUUCAACAACGGAUCUCUUGGUUCCGGCAUCGAUGAAGAACGCAGCGAARUGCGAUAAGUAAUGUGAAUUGCMGAAUUCAGUGAAUCAUYGAGUCUUUGAACGCACAUUGCGCCCCCUGGUAUUCCGGGGGGCAUGCCUGUCCGAGCGUCAUUGCUGCCCUCAAGCACGGCUUGUGUGUUGGGCCCCCGUCCCCCUCUCCCGGGGGACGGGCCCGAAAGGCAGCGGCGGCACCGCGUCCGGUCCUCGAGCGUAUGGGGCUUUGUCACCUGCUCUGUAGGCCCGGCCGGCGCCAGCCGACACCCAACUUUAUUUUUCUAAGGUUGACCUCGGAUCAGGUAGGGAUACCCGCUGAACUUAAGCAUAUCAAUAAGCGGAGGA